GAUGAACGCUGGCGGCGUGCCUAAUACAUGCAAGUCGAGCGAACAGACGAGGAGCUUGCUCCUCUGAUGUUAGCGGCGGACGGGUGAGUAACACGUGGAUAACCUACCUAUAAGACUGGGAUAACUUCGGGAAACCGGAGCUAAUACCGGAUAACAUUUUGAACCGCAUGGUUCAACAGUGAAAGACGGUCUUGCUGUCACUUAUAGAUGGAUCCGCGCGGCAUUAGCUAGUUGGUAAGGUAACGGCUUACCAAGGCAACGAUGCGUAGCCGACCUGAGAGGGUGAUCGGCCACACUGGAACUGAGACACGGUCCAGACUCCUACGGGAGGCAGCAGUAGGGAAUCUUCCGCAAAGGGCGAAAGCCUGACGGAGCAACGCCGCGUGAGUGAAGAAGGUCUUCGGAUCGUAAAACUCUGUUAUUAGGGAAGAACAAAUGUGUAAGUAACUAUGCACGUCUUGACGGUACCUAAUCAGAAAGCCACGGCUAACUACGUG
This 497-nucleotide ribosomal RNA is filed under the name uncultured bacterium. Its description in RNAcentral is "partial 16S ribosomal RNA". It matches the Rfam family "Bacterial small subunit ribosomal RNA", at positions 28 to 507 of the family's 1533-position model. The record is from RNAcentral.